GGGCAUCGGGAGGGAAGCUUGCUUUCCUUGCCGGCGACCGGCGCACGGGUGAGUAACACGUAUGCAACCUGCCCUCUUCAGGGGGACAACCUUCCGAAAGGGAGGCUAAUCCCGCGUAUAUCGGUUUCGGGCAUCCGAGAUCGAGGAAAGAUUCAUCGGAAGAGGAUGGGCAUGCGGCGCAUUAGCUAGACGGCGGGGUAACGGCCCACCGUGGCGACGAUGCGUAGGGGUUCUGAGAGGAAGGUCCCCCACACUGGUACUGAGACACGGACCAGACUCCUACGGGAGGCAGCAGUGAGGAAUAUUGGUCAAUGGGAGAGAUCCUGAACCAGCCAAGCCGCGUGAGGGAAGACGGCCCUAUGGGUUGUAAACCUCUUUUGUCGGAGAACAAAACCCGGGACGUGUCCCGGACUGCGUGUAUCCGAAGAAAAAGCAUCGGCUAACUCCGUGCCAGCAGCCGCGGUAAUACGGAGGAUGCGAGCGUUAUCCGGAUUUAUUGGGUUUAAAGGGUGCGUAGGCGGUCUGUUAAGUCAGCGGUAAAAUUGCGGGGCUCAACCCCGUCGAGCCGUUGAAACUGGCAGACUUGAGUUGGCGAGAAGUACGCGGAAUGCGCGGUGUAGCGGUGAAAUGCAUAGA
This 636-nucleotide ribosomal RNA is filed under the name uncultured bacterium. RNAcentral's name for it is "bacterial SSU rRNA". It matches the Rfam family "Bacterial small subunit ribosomal RNA", at positions 67 to 694 of the family's 1533-position model. The record is from RNAcentral.